Molecule: ribosomal RNA, 463 nt
Filed under: uncultured bacterium
Lineage: Bacteria
Description: partial 16S ribosomal RNA
Rfam family: Bacterial small subunit ribosomal RNA
Source: RNAcentral
GACGAACGCUGGCGGCGUGCUUAACACAUGCAAGUCGAACGGAAAGGCCCUGCUUGCAGGGUACUCGAGUGGCGAACGGGUGAGUAACACGUGGGUGAUCUGCCCUGCACUUCGGGAUAAGCCUGGGAAACUGGGUCUAAUACCGGAUAGGAGCCAUUUUUAGUGUGAUGGUUGGAAAGUUUUUUCGGUGUAGGAUGAGCUCGCGGCCUAUCAGCUUGUUGGUGGGGUAAUGGCCUACCAAGGCGGCGACGGGUAGCCGGCCUGAGAGGGUGGACGGCCACAUUGGGACUGAGAUACGGCCCAGACUCCUACGGGAGGCAGCAGUGGGGAAUAUUGCACAAUGGGCGCAAGCCUGAUGCAGCGACGCCGCGUGGGGGAUGACGGCCUUCGGGUUGUAAACUACUUUCGCUAGGGACGAAGCUUUUGUGACGGUACCUAGAUAAGAAGCACCGGCUAACUACGU